RNAcentral lists this ribosomal RNA (407 nucleotides) under uncultured Clostridium sp. Its description in RNAcentral is "bacterial SSU rRNA". It matches the Rfam family "Bacterial small subunit ribosomal RNA", at positions 355 to 776 of the family's 1533-position model. Lineage: Bacteria; Bacillati; Bacillota; Clostridia; Eubacteriales; Clostridiaceae. The record is from RNAcentral.
UGGGGAAUAUUGGACAAUGGGGGGAACCCUGAUCCAGCGACGCCGCGUGAGUGAAGAAGUAUUUCGGUAUGUAAAGCUCUAUCAGCAGGGAAGAAAGAAAUGACGGUACCUGACUAAGAAGCCCCGGCUAACUACGUGCCAGCAGCCGCGGUAAUACGUAGGGGGCAAGCGUUAUCCGGAUUUACUGGGUGUAAAGGGAGCGUAGACGGCAAUGCAAGUCUGGAGUGAAAGGCGGGGGCCCAACCCCCGGACUGCUCUGGAAACUGUAUAGCUGGAGUGCAGGAGAGGUAAGUGGAAUUCCUAGUGUAGCGGUGAAAUGCGUAGAUAUUAGGAGGAACACCAGUGGCGAAGGCGGCUUACUGGACUGUAACUGACGUUGAGGCUCGAAAGCGUGGGGAGCAAACAGG